RNAcentral lists this non-coding RNA (30 nucleotides) under Rattus norvegicus (Norway rat). The record is from RNAcentral. Lineage: Eukaryota; Metazoa; Chordata; Mammalia; Rodentia; Muridae.
GCCACUCUCACACGAGCCAUUUUCAUUAGC